Non-coding RNA from Podarcis lilfordi (Lilford's wall lizard), 73 nucleotides. NCBI's taxonomy places the organism in Eukaryota, Metazoa, Chordata, Lepidosauria, Squamata, Lacertidae. The record is from the annotation of a GenBank genome assembly.
GAGAGGCUGUAGCUCAGAGGUAGAGUAUAUGCUUUGCAGGCAUGAGAUCCCAGCUCAAUCUCUGGUCCCUUCA